GAUGAACGCUGGCGGCGUGCCUAAUACAUGCAAGUCGAGCGAACAGAUAAGGAGCUUGCUCCUUUGACGUUAGCGGCGGACGGGUGAGUAACACGUGGAUAACCUACCUAUAAGACUGGGAUAACUUCGGGAAACCGGAGCUAAUACCGGAUAACAUAUUGAACCGCAUGGUUCAAUAGUGAAAGGCGGCUUUGCUGUCACUUAUAGAUGGAUCCGCGCCGUAUUAGCUAGUUGGUAAGGUAACGGCUUACCAAGGCAACGAUACGUAGCCGACCUGAGAGGGUGAUCGGCCACACUGGAACUGAGAAACGGUCCAGACUCCUACGGGAGGCAGCAGUAGGGAAUCUUCCGCAAUGGGCGAAAGCCUGACGGAGCAACGCCGCGUGAGUGAUGAAGGUCUUCGGAUCGUAAAACUCUGUUAUCAGGGAAGAACAAAUGUGUAAGUAACUGUGCACAUCUUGACGGUACCUGAUCAGAAAGCCACGGCUAACUACGUG
RNAcentral lists this ribosomal RNA (497 nucleotides) under uncultured bacterium. RNAcentral describes it as "partial 16S ribosomal RNA". It matches the Rfam family "Bacterial small subunit ribosomal RNA", at positions 28 to 507 of the family's 1533-position model. The record is from RNAcentral.